CCACCUGUGGCCUAGUGGGCAAGGUUACAGUCUUGAGAACACUGAGUCGUAGGUUCAAGCCCAGCUAGGAAAG
This 73-nucleotide transfer RNA is filed under the name Anguilla anguilla (European eel). RNAcentral's name for it is "tRNA-OTHER". The record is from RNAcentral. Lineage: Eukaryota; Metazoa; Chordata; Actinopteri; Anguilliformes; Anguillidae.